UCCAAUAGCGUAUAUUAAACUUGUUGCAGUUAAAAAGCUCGUAGUUGUAUUUUUGCGUUGACGGUUUGACCAUUUGGUUGGUUAUUUCGUUUUCGCUUUUGGGAAUUUCCCUUUUUACUUUGAGAAAAUUAGAGUGUUUCAAGCAGACUUUUGUCUUGAAUACUUCAGCAUGGAAUAAUAGAGUAGGACUUUGGUUCUAUUUUGUUGGUUAUUGAACCUUAGUAAUGGUUAAUAGGAACGGUUGGGGGCAUUCGUAUUUAACUGUCAGAGGUGAAAUUCUUAGAUUUGUUAAAGACGAACUACUGCGAAAGCAUUUGCCAAGGACGUUUCCAUUAAUCAAGAACGAAAGUUAGGGGAUCGAAGACGAUCAGAUACCGUCGUAGUCCUAACCAUAAACU
This 398-nucleotide ribosomal RNA is filed under the name Babesia canis. RNAcentral describes it as "SSU rRNA". It matches the Rfam family "Eukaryotic small subunit ribosomal RNA", at positions 590 to 1038 of the family's 1831-position model. The record is from RNAcentral. Lineage: Eukaryota; Apicomplexa; Aconoidasida; Piroplasmida; Babesiidae.